RNA transcript from Ricinus communis (castor bean), 1835 nucleotides. It is a transcript of the gene named sugar transporter ERD6-like 17, with no coding region annotated. Lineage: Eukaryota; Viridiplantae; Streptophyta; Magnoliopsida; Malpighiales; Euphorbiaceae. The record is from RefSeq and is a predicted model, not a curated record. The transcript has 17 exons.
UCUCUCAGUUGCAACUCCUUCAAACGACAAUAACCUACCAGUUACCAAUCUGUUUUUCCUUUCUUUUUUCUUUUCGGAAAAUAGAUUCUGCAAAUUCUUUAUUAUCAAUCAUGCUGUGCGGGCAUUUUUUUUUAAUUAUUACAUCAGACUGUACCCAAUCAGAGCUGUCUGUUUCUCCAACAACCCAUACACAUGACUUUGCGGUUGGCUUUUUCUUCUUAAAAAUAAAAGAAAGUCGUCCUCUUUAUCUCUAUCUCAAUUAAUGAACUACAGAGGGAUUAUUAAUUAACCAUGGAGGAAGAAAAAAGAGAAGAGCGGCGGCAACUGCUACAGCCUGUUGUUUUUGGUAAUGGCAUAAGCAUUGAUGAUGAUGAUUCUUUAGUCACUCCUUCUGUCGUUUUCAAUACCAUGGUUGCUAUCUGCGGUUCCUUUGGUACUGGCUGUGCUACAGGCUUUUCCUCACCUGCUCAAUCUGGAAUCAUGGAGGACUUGGGCAUGUCAGUAGCAGCUUACUCCGUUUUUGGUUCUGUAAUGACAAUUGGAGGAGUGAUUGGUGCAUUAGUAAAUGGAACAAUGGCAGAUCUCAUUGGUCGUAGAUACACAAUGUGGGUGUCAGAAUUUUUCUUCAUCACUGGGUGGCUUGCAAUAGCUUUCACACAGGUUGCUUGGUUGCUAGAUUUUGGAAGACUUCUGAUGGGGAUAGGAAUGGGGAUUACUCUUUAUGUGGUACCAAUAUACAUUGCAGAAAUAACACCUAAACAUAUUCGUGGGAGAUUUACAGCUGCUAAUCAGCUCUUGACAAGUUGUGGACUUUCACUGAUUUAUUUUGUUGGAACUAUCAUUUCUUGGCACACCUUAGCUCUAAUUGGGGCUGUUCCAUUUGCAUUGCAAGCUGUAGGAAUUUUAUUCAUUCCAGAGUCUCCUAGAUGGCUGGCAAAAGUUGGUCGAGAAAGAGAGUUGGAAGGAACUCUGCAGUAUCUGAGGGGAAAGAAUGCUGAUGUUUCUGAAGAAGCAGCUAACAUUAGAAACUACACUGGGACCUUUCAAGGGCAUUCACAAACUAGAUUUCUAGACUUGUUCCAGUUCAGAUAUGCUCAUACUCUUAUUGUCGGCAUAGGGAUACUGCUUUUCCAACAAUUUGGAGGGAUAAAUGCAAUUGCAUACUAUGCCAGCUCCAUUUUUGGAAAAGCUGGUUUUUCCCCUAAUCUCGGGCAAAUAUCGAUGGCUAUUAUCCAGGUUCCAGCUACAGCUAUAUCAGUAAUCUUAAUAGAUAAAUCUGGAAGGCGGCCACUUCUCAUGGUUUCUACAUCUGGCAUGUGCUUAAGUUGUUUUCUUAUAGGAAUGGCAUUCUGGUUGCAAGUGUGUCAUGAGAUUAGAUGUGAUUUUGUAAUAUUUCUUCUUCAGAAUUUCGUUGUCAUUCUUAUAAAUUGUCAAUCUCUUAAAGCCUAUUUUGAACAGGACCUCCACAAGGUGAAGGAGAUCACUCCCAUUCUGGUCUACAUUGGUAUCUUGGGGGUACAGUAUUUUUGUAUCAGUAGGCAUGGCGGGAUUACCAUGGGUUAUAAUAUCCGAGAUAUUUCCUAUAAAUAUUAAAGGCAGAGCUGGGAGUCUGGCAACUCUAAUCAAAUGGUUAUGUUCUUGGAUCGUUACGUAUAUUUUCAACCUUUUGAUGGAAUGGAGCUCAGCAGGAACAUUUUUUAUACUCUUUGGAUUUUGCGGAUCAGCUGUUCUGUUCAUUGCAAAGGUGGUCCCAGAGACUAAGGGACGAAUGUUAGAGGAACUACAAGCAUCAAUUACCCACUUCCCGCAACAGGAUAAAUCAGAAGUGAUUUAGA